GUGUUCAAAGCAAAUCUUAUGUUAAUGAAUAAUGAAGCAUGGGACAAUAUCGAGGAGAUCUUUCGGGAUUUCGGGAAAAGGAUUAAGAGGAACAAUUGGGGUGAUUCAGAAAAUGACGGGAGAGGUAAAAUUCCAUGAUCGCCAUAAGAUGCACGAGAGCGAAAGCAUUUCACUCAAUUGCGUUCAUUAAUCAAGAACGAAAGUUAGGGGAUCGAAGACGAUUAGAUACCGUCGUAGUCCUAACUAUAAACGAUGUCAACCAAGGAUUGGAUUAGUUUUAGAGUGACAGAAGUCCGG
Molecule: ribosomal RNA, 297 nt
Filed under: Weissella confusa
Lineage: Bacteria; Bacillati; Bacillota; Bacilli; Lactobacillales; Lactobacillaceae
Description: partial 16S ribosomal RNA
Rfam family: Eukaryotic small subunit ribosomal RNA
Source: RNAcentral